GAUGAAGAACGUAGCGAAAUGCGAUAAGUAAUGUGAAUUGCAGAAUUCAGUGAAUCAUCGAAUCUUUGAACGCACCUUGUACCCUUUGGCAUUCUGAAGGGUAUGCUCGUUUGAGUGUCAUUGUACUCUCACACUUCUAAUUCCUUUCGGGAUUGGGAGCGGUGGACUUGGGUGUUGCUGCUUUAGUUGUGGCUCACCUCAAAUAAGUUAGUGCAACUCUUGGUUGGACAUAGUACGGCGUGAUAAGUGUCUUCGCCGGCGCCUCUGUAAGGAGGGUGGCCGAUCGGGAGCUCUGUGCUUCAAACCGUCUUCGGACAAUCUUUGACAACUUGACCUCAAAUCGAGUAGGACUACCCGCUGAACUUAAGCAUAUCAAUAAGCGGAGGA
This 387-nucleotide unclassified non-coding RNA is filed under the name soil metagenome. Its description in RNAcentral is "partial contains 5.8S ribosomal RNA, internal transcribed spacer 2, and large subunit ribosomal RNA". The stretch from base 1 to 120 matches the Rfam family "5.8S ribosomal RNA", at positions 35 to 154 of the family's 154-position model. The record is from RNAcentral.